This 465-nucleotide ribosomal RNA is filed under the name uncultured bacterium. Its description in RNAcentral is "partial 16S ribosomal RNA". It matches the Rfam family "Bacterial small subunit ribosomal RNA", at positions 338 to 795 of the family's 1533-position model. The record is from RNAcentral.
CCUACGGGAGGCAGCAGUAGGGAAUCUUCCACAAUGGGCGAAAGCCUGAUGGAGCAACGCCGCGUGGGUGAAGAAGGUCUUCGGAUCGUAAAACCCUGUUGUUAGAGAAGAAAGUGCGUGAGAGUAACUGUUCACGUUUCGACGGUAUCUAACCAGAAAGCCCCGGCUAACUACGUGCCAGCAGCCGCGGUAAUACGUAGGUGGCAAGCGUUAUCCGGAUUUAUUGGGCGUAAAGGGAACGCAGGCGGUCUGUUAAGUCUGAUGUGAAAGCCUUCGGCUUAACCGGAGUAGUGCAUUGGAAACUGGGAGACUGGAGUGCAGAAGAGGAGAGUGGAACUCCAGGUGUAGCGGUGAAAUGCGUAGAUAUAUGGAAGAACACCAGGGGCGAAAGCGGCUCUCUGGUCUGUAACUGACGCUGAGGUUCGAAAGCGUGGGUAGCAAACAGGAUUAGAUACCCGUGUAGUC